RNAcentral lists this small RNA (533 nucleotides) under Pan troglodytes (chimpanzee). RNAcentral's name for it is "retained intron". The record is from RNAcentral. Lineage: Eukaryota; Metazoa; Chordata; Mammalia; Primates; Hominidae.
CAGGAAAAGGACCAGGGAAAAGGAGAGGUCCAACAAUCAAGAUAUCCGGAGUUCAGGUUAAUGUGAAAUCCAUUAUCCAACAUGAAGAGGAGUUUGAGAUGCUGCAUAAAUCUAUCCCUGUGGACCCUGAAGAAAAAAAAAAAUACUGCUUAACCUGUCGUGUCAAAGCUGCACAUUUUGAUGUAGAGUGGGGGGUGGAAGAUGAUUCUCGCCUGUUGCUGGGGAUUUAUGAACAUGGCUAUGGAAACUGGGAGUUAAUUAAAACAGACCCAGAGCUUAAAUUAACUGACAAAGUAAGUAACCCUACCAUGCUAGAGAUUUCUAGAAGAUUUGUUGUGUAAUAUUUUUAUAUCGAUUACUUAUUUCUAACUAUUUUCAAGGGGGCAUCAAAUUAGAAAUUAGUAUAGUCAUUCUUGGAAAUACUUCCAUCUUUAGUGGAUUGUGGCACUGUUUCACGGAUGAAGAUAAAGGGAAAAGACAGUAGCCAGGUGAAAUUUUGGGGAAACUGUAGGAGAAAUCUUAAAAUUCUGGUA